Molecule: ribosomal RNA, 273 nt
Filed under: Triticum aestivum (bread wheat)
Lineage: Eukaryota; Viridiplantae; Streptophyta; Magnoliopsida; Poales; Poaceae
Description: partial small subunit ribosomal RNA
Source: RNAcentral
AUGUAUGCAGGUUCCAACCCCACCUCGGAGAUGAGGAACUCGGACCUGCGCUGCAGCCGACCACCGGAACAUCUUCUUCAAGUGCUCGACCUUGGCGGUGAUUUUCUCCUGGGUGAGGAAUGCGACAGCUUGCAGCGCUUGCCCGAACAUCCCCGAUCCACGGGGCACACCGAGCCCUUCGGCGCACGCCACUAUCGCCCGGACGCGCUCCGGGUUAUUGCCGAGCAGCCAUGGCACACGGUUGCACAGCCUGACAAUAUCGCAAGCACCUAG